ACUGUUUCUGUAGUGCUUACAUAGUUUACGUCAUCCUUUGAGCAUGGUACAGUGAAUUUGGGAUUGAAACGAAGUUGUAGGGUUUAUUGCUUAUUAAUGUGGGCUUUUCAAGUGAGGCUGUUUAAAUCCAUAGUUAGGCCUUUCUGAAAAGGUGGCCUGUUUUCUCCUUAGGCUUCAGCACCCAGCACCUGCCAGGGAGAUCCACGGGAAUAGUGAGUGCUUAGCAAGGAGGAAAAUAAUUUUAUUUGUAUUACAAAUGAAACUAGGAGCGUGUCCGUCUUGCAAAAUGAGGGACUAACUCUGCGUUUUCCUCUUGCUUUUUCGAGUACUGCAUGUUAUGUGGAGAACAACUGGAAAUCGCAAAGAAUUUUCAAAUAAAUAAUAACUUUCACGGAGCACUGCACUUCGAUGGGGAGCUUGGAGUGGAAGAGCACCACACGUGUGUGCCUACAAUGCAUGAAAGGUAAAUUUGUCCUUAGCUGAGGGAGAAGCCCAGCGCCCGCAUGGAAAGGAUGCCGAGAGACAGAGCUGCAGUCCAAGGGCAGCUGAAAGCCCCGUUCCCAUUCCCGCGGCGGGACCAUCUCCCACCUGGACACCCCGCGGGAGCCGACCUGCAGCCGAGACCGACCCCCACCGCGGCCGGGCUGCGGGACCAUCCCCCGGCAAAAAGUGCUUCCUGCCAAAAAUCACGUCUCCUGGGAGGGGUUGGGAGGUACAUUUGUUGGAAGAUACUAGGAGUGAAGGAAAAACUGGUGCAGAUGAGCUGGAGAGCUCUGCUUAUUUGUUUCCAGUCAGCAUAAACACCGCGCCCCACCCUCCUUUUAAUUUUAGUGGUUAAAAUCGGAGUAUAUUUCCUCAGCAGGUACCUAAAGGAAGAACCCUGAUGUUGCUCUACCGGUUUGCUCUGUCGGCCCCUUUGCAUUUGUGGGCUUUUACGCAUU
Molecule: long non-coding RNA, 941 nt
Organism: Ficedula albicollis (Collared flycatcher)
Lineage: Eukaryota; Metazoa; Chordata; Aves; Passeriformes; Muscicapidae
Exons: 3
Source: RefSeq, a predicted model, not a curated record